GGCAAUAGCUACAAAUACUUACACUGGAAGAAAGGGGAGAUUUGAAAGGUAAAUACAAUAAAGGUAAAUGAGCCAUGCAAUUAAGAAGAAAUAUAUAUAUAAUCAGGAUUUUCCUCUUAUCUAUGCAGUUUUAUUUAUCUACUGUCCGGUUUUCAGCACUGGCUGUUUUCCUAUUGAUGAAUCUCCGUACGAAGCACAGGGGUUGAAUGAGCUGCAUGAGAAUUUUAAUUGAUCAUUUUCUUUAUGAUUUAAAAAGGAAAAUAUUUAACCAUGUAUUAUGCUCUAAUGUGUUUUGCAUAUACAUUUACAAAGGUUAAAUUAAUGUAACCUUAGAUAUGGUUGUUUAUAUUGCAACCCAAUAUCAUUGAGGGGACUAGGAAGAUGCUUACAAGAUAGGAGACUGUUAAGUAAAUAGGUGUAAAAUAACCAUAGGGGGUGUAUUGGCUUAUUAUCAUUAUUAUUAUUGCUUUUUAUAUAGUGCCAACUAAUUCCGCAGAGCUUUACAAUUUUAUGAAAGGGGUAGGGGGAUUUACAAUGCAUUAGACAAUUACACAGUGACACAGGAACAAUAGGUAGACGAGGACCCUGUUCAAAUGAGCUUACAGUCUACAUGGCUUUUGAAAGAAUAGAAUAGGUAAGGAGUAGUUUGGUCUCUCUUACCCUUUAUCCCUAUUAUAUAUUGAAAAGUCACUUCUUGCAUCUAACAUGAGUGCUGUUUAAACUUUAAAAGGAGGUUUUGAAUUAGUUUGUAACACACUAAAUACAAGGUUUCAAGGUUAAAGUUUUAUUGAGUUGGCUGAAACAGAUACUGUGGUGCUCUCCAGCAACUAGGGCAGUGAUGGCGAACCUAUAGCACGCCGGGCCCUCGCUGUGGGCACGCGGCCAUAGGUUUGCCAUCAAUGCAGAGUAAGUACCUGCCUGCUCAAAACGGCAGGCGCCUACUCUUCUUCCGGGUCGGGAGGAUCGGAAGCAGUGGGAGGGAUCGAGGAAGCAGCUCUCCUGUCCUCCCUCGAGCUGUGUGGAGCGUUGCCGCGUGUUACCAUGGCAACGCCCCACACAGCAUCGGGCUGGAGGACAGGAGAGCUGCAGGACCUGUCAUCCUGUCCUGCAUACUUACCACCACUGGACCACCAGGGAUGGCUGUGUUCCAUCCCUCCCCUUCACCAAAGGUAAGAAGAAGGGAAGGGGGGGUACUGAUUUAAUAAGUAUUUAAUGUUUUUUUUUUUUUUGUGUAAUGCAUCUUCAGCUCCUACCCCUACACACGGCACCCCUACCCCCCUACACACAGCACCCCUACCCCCCUAAAUACAGCACCUCUACCCACAGCACCACUACCCUCCUACACACAGCACCCCUACCCCCCUACACACAGCACUACCACAACACCCCUACCCCACACACAGCACAGCACCCCUACACACACAGUACCCCUACCCCCCCUACACCCACCCUACCCCCAACACACAGCACCCCUUCCCCCAGCACCCUACCCCCACACACAAACACAGCACCCUACACCCCACACAGACAGCACCCUACCCCCCCACACAGCACCACUAAACCCCCCACACACAGCACCUCUCAUACACAGCACUACACACGAACACACCCCUCAAUGCAGUAUAUGUGUGUGUGUUCAUCAGUCUUUAUGUAUUCAGCAGUGUGUGUGUGUAUUCAGCUGACUGCGUGUGUACUCAGCAGACUGCGUACUCAGCAGACUGCGCGUGUAUAUUCAGCAGACUGUGUACUCGGCAGUGUGUGUGUAUAUUCAGCAGAUUGUGUACUCGGCAGUGUGUGUGUGUAUUCAGCAGUGUGUGUAUUCAGCAGUGUGCGUGUAUUCAGCAGUGUGCGUGUUUGUGUGUGUGUAUUUAGCGGACUGUGUGUGUAUUUAGCAGUCUGUCUGUGUGUUGGUGUGUGUAUGUAUUAAGCAGUUGGUGUGUGAAUGUGUUCAGCAGUCUGUGUGUAUGUAUUGCAUUUGUUGGAGAUACUAAUAAAUAUAAGCUUAAUUCAUAUCAUUAUUUAAAAUUUUUAUAAUUUAACUCUCUGUUGUGUUCUUCUUUUUAAACAAAAGUUGUUAACUGUACGAGUAGUUUUUUUCUAAACGUAAACCUCAGUAUUCAGGUUUAAUUGCCAUGUUGGCACUUUGAGGGAAAAAAGUUGGCAUGUAUUGCGGUUUGGGUACUCGGGCUCAAAAAUGUUCGCCAUCACUGAACUAGGGGAAUAAACCUUACUGGAAGUUGGCUGCAAACACUAUUCUGAAACUCUUAGCCAGCAUUAAAGGAACACUAUAAUCACCUAAAUUACUUUAGCUAAAUAAAGCAGUUUUAGUGUAUAGAUCAUUCCCCUGCAAUGUCACUGCUCAAUUCACUGUCAUUUAGUAGUUAAAUCACUUUGUUUCUGUUUAUGCAGCCCUAGCUACACCUCCCCUGGCUAUGAUUGACAGAGCCUGCAUGAAAACUGGUUUGACUUUCAAACAGAUGUAAUUUACCUUAAAUAAUUGUAUCUCAAUCUCUAAAUUGAACUUUAAUCACAUACAGGAGGCUCUUGCAGGGUCUAGCAAGCUAUUAACAUAGCAGGGGAUAAGAAAAUCUUAAUUAAAGAGAACUUGCAAUAAAGAAAGCCUAAAUAGGGCUUUCUUUACAGGAAGUGUUUAUGGAAGGCUGUGCAAGUCACAUGCAGGGGCAUGUUCUAUACACCAAAACUGCUUCAUUAAGCUAAAGUUGUUCAGGUGACUAGUGUCCCUUUAAUCUAUUUGUCAGAUUUUGUCUAUUCUAGGUGUUGUGUGGUGUUCCUCUUUCCCUUCCUGAGCUAUAUGAUAUAGAAGGAGCCUUAUAUGGAAUUUAAAUUGCCUAUAAUUGAGAGGAGCGUGCCUGCUUUGCUUCGGUUUGGAGGUGGGGUAGAUUAAAUCAAUACUGUUGUAAUUAAAUCUGGUUGCACCCUCUUGGUUUGCGAGUAGACACCUAGUCCUGCUCCCUGGUUUCAAUGGCUCAGCAGAGCUGAACUUAAGAGGUAGUGCAUCCAGUUUUGCAGAGAUUUACAAUUGAGUUGCAGUGGGUGGGCCACAGAGAGUCUGGGUAGGGUUAGAAGGGGAUGGUGUGUAGGGGUAGCAGGCAAGAAAAUUGUAAGUAUCACAAACUAUUUCUGCUAAAGUUUAUACAUGUUUUUCGCUUAAAGUAUAUCUACUAAACAGGGAUCUGCAUUCGGUUGGUAUCUGGGCAGUGGAAGGUUACAUAGUUACAUUGCUGAAAAGAGACUUGCAUCCAUCAAGUUCAGCCUUCCUCAUAUUUGGUUUUUGCUGUUGAUCCAAAAGAAGGCAAACAAAAAGGUUCCUUUUAAAGGGACACUAUACUUACCUGAACAACUACAGCUUAAUGUAUUUGUUCAGGUGAGAUCUAUAGCUCCCUGCAGGCAAUCUAAUGUAAACACUGUAUUUUCAGAGAAAAUACAGUGUUUACAUUGAUUGAUAGGAAUACCUCCAGUGGCCGUCACUCAGACAGCCACCAGAGGGACUUCCUAUCAUGCAGGGCCCUAAAAAGGCCUUGUGCACGUCAGACAUAUUAAAAUACGUCUGACGUGUGCAGGAGAGAGAAGGCACUGUGUGCGCGCCUUCUCUCUUCUGCCUGUCAUGAAUGCCGCCCUCUGAAGUAUGUGCACAUGUGUGGCGAAGCAAUGACGCUUCCAAAUGGAAGCAUCUGAUUGCUCCCUGCUCGCGCCCACCUAUUUCGUCAUUUUGACGAAAUAGGGGGCGUGGCUUCAUGAGGCUCCCGGCGCUGGAACCAGGUGAGUAAAAUCCUCUGCCUGGAGAGUCCCUUUAAGUUAGGAAGCAAGUUUAUAGAUUAACACCUUAAGGACACAUGCCCUGUGUGACAUGUCAUGAUUCCCUUUUAUUCCAGAUGUUUGGUCCUUAAGGGGAUAAAGGGACACUAUAGUCACCAGAACAACUACAGCUUAUUGAAUUUGGUGAGUAGAAUCAUUACCUUCAGGCUUUUUGCUGAAUAAGAAAUGCAGUGUUUACAUUACAGCCUAGUGAUAACUUCACUGGCCAAUCCUCAGAUGGCUGUUAGAGAUCUUUCCUGGGUCAUGGCUGCCUAAAAUGCAUCCAAACAUUCGGUAGCUCCUCCCUCUGCAUGCAGACACUGAACUUUCCUCAUAGAGAUUCAUUAAUUCAAUUCAUCUCUAUGAGGAGAUGCUGAUUGGCCAGGGCUGUGUUUGAAUCAUGCUGGCUCUGCCCCUGAUCUACCUCUUUGUCAGUCUCAGCCAAUCCUAUGGGGAAGCAUUGUGAUUGGAUCAGGCUACCACUUCUGAUGAUGUCAGCACACUGCUUGUUUUUCUGAGUUUAACAGCAUGCAGAGUUACAGCUUCAGGCUUGAAUACAAUAAGAUUUAGCUAUAUUUAUGUAGGCAUGAGGGGCCAUGGGGGGCUAGAUGGUGGUGUUAACACUAUAGGGUCAGGAAUACAUGUUUGUGUUCCUGACCCUAUAGUAAUCCUUUAACCAUUUUGGCUGUUAUGCUAGCUCUCGUGAAUUCUUUGUAAGCUAUACAAAAUAGCUAUAUUUACAACAUUUUUAGCGACAUAUGUAUCAUGGCUAAGGUGUUUAUAAGCCCACAGAGGCUACAUAAGGAGAAAAAAGAUACUUAGAUAAAGGGAUACAAGCAAUGGCUCCAAAGAGUGACAAGGGUAAAAGGAAAAUGAGAUAAACAGCAAAUUGUAAAUGGAAUUUGAAGUGGGGGGGUGGGGGGAGGAGAGUGAAAACAUAAACAGGGCCAUGAAGGGGAGUAGUAAAAAAUAAUCCAUUACCAAUUUUUAUUUUCUUUAAGAGUAAACACAUAUGGGCUGUAAAGCCAAACAUACUUCAAUUACCCUUUCUUGUGUUGGCUAUGCAAACUUUAGCUAUUAGUAGAUUUGUAUAGGAUGUUUUUAGGUUAUUUUAAUGUUAAUCCUGGUGAGACAUUAUAUUAGUAAUGCUGCAGGACUAUGAGAGUGUUACCAUCCAGACCUAUGGCCUAAUCAGACCAAGGAGUGAUGGUCGCCCCAAUUUUCACUUGGCGAGAAGUAAGCCCAGGAGUCAGUUUAGGUUUUUUAGUAUAUACAUUGGUUGUUGGGGAUGGUCUUAUUUAUUUUUUCUGCAAUGGGUCUUUGCUUGUGUUGCCGUGGCAGUGGCUAUCAAAACUAACUCAUUGUUUAUACAAUAACAGUUAAAAUAGUAUCUAUAAAUGUGAAAAGGUUAAAUUUCCCUCAGAAGAGUAGAAUAAUGUAUAGAGAAUUGACUCCGUUAGAGGCUAAUAUUGCUUUAAUUUAGGAGACUUAUUUAAAUAAAUCUUAUCUGAUUACUUUGGUUGAUAAAAAGUAUGAUAAGGUCUACACCUCUGAUGCAAUAAGAAAACAUAAUGGAGCUGCGCUAUUGGUUCAGAAGAGGUGUCAAUUUCAAAUGGUAUAUACCGUAGGUGUCAUGGAGAGGCACUUUUUACUGGUCUCAGGAAUAAUGGGUAAUUGGAAGUUACAUAUUGUAAAUGGGUAUGCAUCUAAUGCUUCUGAUCCAAGAUUCUGGGAGAAAUUGGGAAGGAUAGUGGAACCAUUGAUGAUGGAUUUGGUGCUGAUUGGUGGUAUUUUUAAGCGGUUUCAUGCACGGCUCAAGACAGGGGUUCUGGUACAAAUAUAACAGCUUCCAGGCUCUUCUGGGGCUCCUUUUAGAAUAUUUAAUGGUACAAGACAGUGCUGCCCCCUGUCCCCUAUUCUAUUUGCCCUCUUGCUGGAGCCUCUUCUUCAGCGGGUGAUGACAGCAAAAGGUGCUGUACUAAAGGUGCUUGCCAUUAAGGGGCUGAAUAAUUUUGAGACUGUAGAAGUAAUUAUAAGUUGCAUUUUCAGUUGAAUUUGGGAAAACCACUUGAAGCAUUUGUUGAGUUGAGCUAUUUCAAUUCCUUUUGUUAGAUUUGCUCGUUACGAACAACGGAAAGUCUGCAAAUUUUGAAUAUAAACCUAAUUUUCAAUGGGGGUUGAAUAAUUUUGAUUACAACUGUGCAUAUUUAUUAUAAUUUAUUAUAAUUCUUCCGUGUGUCAAUUAGAAACAUCAAUAUGCAUUAGACUUAGAUUUUCAUUAAGUUUAUUUUGCUUACAAUUACUAAUAUAAAAUAAGGGAUGUUACAGGAUGAUGGAUGUUCAGCAGCAGAUGUUAACUGCUGGACUCAGGAAGGUAGAGGUAGAGUGUGCAAAGUCAGGGAACAAACUAACAGACAACAAGCCUAGUGGUCCCUUGUCCACUAUGCUAUAUAGCUAUGGUCAAAAUUACGUCAGACCUUUUAGCUAUAACUCUGGUCAUAUAAGGACACGUAUGAAAACCGUCUUUAUAUGUAACCACAUUCCAGAAUUCUCAGACAAAGAAAACCAUGUGACUUAUUGACUGUGAAUAUUACUUAUGCUCAAUCUAGACACCCAUAUCUCAUGACAUUAGAACAUGCAAUAUUCUACAAGUCCUUCUGUUUAUUGUUUGUCCUAAAACCAUAGCACAAUGUCGGUGACCUUUCCAUCCAUACAUCUUUCAUAUCACAUUUGUCUCACAAUUAUUGAGUAUAAAUCAAGUUGUAUUCACAUUUUUCUGGGAUAUGAGAAUUCUUGGAAGUUUGAGGUGCUAUCCUUCUUGCUGUUUCUUUUAUUUCAAACUGCCUCUGUUUUAGCUAUUUAUUGAUAUCAGUAAGAUCUGCCUGCUCAUGUACAGUUAUGUAUUUGUAGACAACAAAAUCAAGAUAUUGUUAGUGAUAAAAUUACUGUGUAUCACAAACAUAUAUUUCUAAUACAGACACCUAUAACAAAGUUAUUUCUUUCUCAAGAACUGGUAUUACUGAAGUACUAAUACAUGUAUUACUUGAUUCCAAUACAAUUGAUAACACCAAGUGACGGUUAUACCAGUACUUUCAAAUCAGAAUAUUCAAUUUGUAUAUUCAGUAAGCUCUCACUAUCCGAAAUAAACUAACACUUCUUAUAAGAUUCAUAAUAAUUUGUAAACAUUCAAAGCUAGUGUGAACCCUCAAAUAAUUCUUCAAAUAAUGUUCAUGCCGUUGACAGUACUCAUUGUUCUAGAAAUUCUCCACCCAGGAAUCUUUCCAUCACAUCUAUUUGUGUUUAUUUACAUUAUUAUCAUUCCCACUAAAUGUCCACCCUAUAGUAACAAACAUUUUUAUUCAUUAGGAAAAACUUACACUUGAAAUAGUUUACUUGAAAAGAACUCGGAAGAGAUAAUUUAAAUUCAUUAUCAUCACUUUCUUCCUUGACAUAUGCCUUUGCUUCUUUAACGUAGGAUUGUCCAAAUGUUUCCUAAACAUCUGUUCUGACCAAUCCGUAUUCUCUAGUACAUUUCUUCAAUAAGCAUUGGGUCAUAAUACAUAUAAACUCGAAUCCCUUGUCCAUAACAAACUCAGCAAAUAAUUUACAUUGAAUACCAUCAUAUCCAGAACCCUAUUCUUUCUAGUCCAUACAAUUAUAGACUUGGGUCACAUAUAAUUUUAUGGCAGGACAGGAGGCUUCAUAUUUGCUUUACCUUCUUUACUGAAACCUCCAGCAGCAAAGAAACAGUUAACAGAACUUUUCAAAACAACCAAUCAGAACAAAGCAACAGUAGUAUAAAACCCCUAAGCAGGCUCUUCCACUCCCUCUUUCUUUGCUGCUGCCUCCAGGUGAGCACUCACCAACUCAGAGUUGUCUCUGCUCUUGGUUGUUGUUUUAUCCUACAUGCUGCUUGCUUAUUUAAACAGUCUAUUUAAUCAGUCUAUUUGUUAGGUUUGUUUAAGCAGCUUAAUUGCUGGGUUUAUCUAGGCAGUCUAUUGCUGGGUUUAUCUAGGCAGUCUAUUGCUGGGUUUAUCUAGGCAGUCUAUUGCUGGGUUUAUCUAGGCAGUCUAUAGCUGGGUUUAUCUAGGCAGUCUAUUGCUGGGUUUAUCUAGGCAGUCUAUAGCUGGGUUUAUCUAGGCAGUCUAUUGCUGGGUUUAUCUAGGCAGUCUAUUGCUGGGUUUAUCUAGGCAGUCUAUUGCUGGGUUUAUCUAGGCAGUUUAUUCUGUGUUAUUUCCUAUACCACUUCAUGCUAUGUAGCUGCAUUAUUAUUUAUUAACAUCUGUUGCUGUAUUUAUCUGACAGAUUCUGUAUACUGCUUUAUUCUGUUUUCUCACUCUGCUGUAUGGGGAAUGGAUGCCCCUGCUAUGAUGCUUUGGCUCUGCCUGUAAUUUGUUCCCCUGCUGGGCUCUGUCGCCCAUACCCUUUCUCCCUUAUUCCACACCUGCUCCCCGUGGCCCCUGGCAGCCUUUUCUACCGUGGCAUUGCCGCACGAUCACCACGCGGUUGGCCGCGCUCUGUUUUUGCAGCCACGGCAGCCAUUUUGUUAGAUCCGCGGCGGCCAUUUUUCAGAGCCACAUGGGCUCUGUGCGUUGCGAACAGCCAGGUCUCACCCGAGAACUGGCCUGCUGGCCAUGUGGCCACCCUCCCCUCUCCCUAUAUCAGGGGAGAUAGCCCAGUUUUUCAGCUAUCCCUCUACUUACUGUGCCUGUCUCACAUGCUGCAUAUGUAACAGAUCCUGGAUAGCAGGAUCAUAGCAGGAUCUGUCCCAGGCACGCUCACAACUGCAGUUUACUAUGUCUGAUGCAAUGUGACUAGGUUCUCUAUCUUAGCAGUAGACUUUUUUUACUAUUGCAUGUGAAUCUCAGAUUUAAAGAGACAUGUUACUGCUCAAAUAAAAAUCUUUGUUUAACAGGACUAUGCCACAUGUGUUAUAUGCUAAUCAAGUCUUUCUCUAAGGUUCAGUCUUUUUCUCAUAAAAAUUAAAUGGCCUGUUUUUCAGCACCUAGCUCCCCUGCCUAGGAUUUGCUGCCCUUCCUGCAAGGGACUUAAAUUUUCCACUACACAUACAAUUCAAAAGUGUAUCCUAUUAUAAUACCUGAGUGGUCUGUGAGUCAGCUUCUCGCUAUAUGGACCCUCCUACCCCUCAGGGGGGCUACUGGCCCCACAAUCAGACCUGUUAUUAUUGGGGGGGUGAACCCCCCCCCCAUCCAUAUUUCUGGGGCUCUACCCGCUACUGGACCAUAAUAAUGGACAUAUGACACCACUGUGGGCUGGGUGACCCCCUCCCUCUGGCAACAUGGCUACCUAUGAGUACCCUGCUGGCUCUACGGCGUCCUGUAAGAUUAAUGCUGAGGGUGACCCCCUCCUGCUUCCUAUACUAAUGCUCCGGCAAUGUCCUGCUAAAAGAGGGUACCCCUCCCACUGAUUGAGCUUCUGUUCUUACAGUGCCCUGCAUUACGCAGAUACUGAGGGUGACCCCCUCCUGUGGACUACUCUGCUGGACCUACAGGGUCCCAUUAUAACCAUAAUGAGGGUGACUCCCUCUCGCUGACUACACUGCUGGGUGUACAGACCUCUAUGAUACCACACUGAGGGUGACCCCCUCUUACCUACAGCACUGUUGGAUCUGCAAUGCCAGGUUCUGGUUAUAUGAGGGUGACCCCCUCCUGCCGUCUACACUGCUGGACCGGCAAUGUCUGGUUACUUUAUUAUACGGCUAACCACUUCGGCACUACUGUACCCACAGUGUCCGAUUAUGUUCAGACUGAGGGUGACCCCCUCCCUGCUGGCCUAUACUGCAUGGUAUGCUUGUGCUUGUUGGGUGACCCCCUCUUGCACGCUGGGUGACCCCCAGCUGGCCGCACCACUGUACCUACAGUGUCCGAUUAUGUUCAGACUUAGGGUGACCCCCUCCCCUGCAUGCCUAUACUGCAUGGUAUGCUUGUGCUUGUUGGGUGACCCCCUCUUGCACGCUGGGUGACCCCCAGCUGGCCGCACCAGGUAUCAUUCCGACAGUGUUACCUCUAUGGCAGUUGUGCAAUCACGGCUGUAGGACAAAUCUCCCGUACCCAGAAGGUCACUUGGCCUGUCCUCUUGCCGCCCCGCUGACCUCACUGCCAGAAACCAUCGGUACCCUACGGGGACAUUCCACCGGCCAUCCUAAACGCUACACCAAGCACCCCUGGUACUCGUUGGCUAACGGAUGGAUUCAUCAAGAGGAUCAGUCUUCAUGACGGACUCCGGAAAGGACACCGCAAACACCUGACACUGGGUUUGCACUCUAUCUGGGACUAACCAGUGGAUGUCAGUGACAUACGGACACAGAUGUUUCCUCGGGACGAACGGCGCGUUACCGCUUGGAAAGCGGAGAAGACUAAAUUCCCACUGGGAAUGGACCGAUAUGACUUAUAGGUAUCGCCUAGUUGGUUUCUACCCCCUGAGAACCGCAAAACGGCCCCUGUCCAAGCUGGACAUCAAACUGAUGGAUUUAGCAUCCAAGUGCUGGGUCUGCUCUCCGGAGUUACCCUCAUGUACAAAUUGAGCUGACACGUCUCUAUUCAUAGGGUUCCCCCUUAACUAAGCCCAGAGGUCUCUCGGACCGUGCCCGGACUCCAGAUCAAGGUUUCGGAACCUUGGACCGUUCCAUGAGCAAUACGCAUGACCAAAAGAGGCAUGCAUUCCGACUCAUUCCGCAGUUGCCCUGCUGGGCAAAGUGUGCGGUGGAGUGGACUCCCGUCCCAUCCCCACGCUACAUGCUCCCAGUGCAUAUGUCGUCUGUUGACACAUUUUGAGACGGAGGGCACUCAUCCCCUCUGAGAGCUGCUCGGCGUUGACGAUUGGUUCUCUCCCUCAAAUGCACAUGAGAGAAACCCGCAUGGAUUUUGCCAUCAACAUGGACAUAUUGAAUCUGACUCACUCCCAGUCAACCCAGUUUCCGGUCUUUCAUGGAAUAUUCGGUCCAGGCGGUGCUCCGCCUCCCGAGGACCAAGAUGUACGUCUUCAAGGAAAAUACCAGGUAUAUGCUCUGCAACCCGCGGGUUACACUUAGGGGCCCAACCCGGUUAAUUGACCGGUGCCUAUUCGCCAUGGAAGCCAUACCUCCAGGAUCCGGUACUAUCAGCCGCUCCAACAUGGCGCUUUCUUGGGUCUUCGGCCUCGUAUGACCAAAUCAUGUGACCUUCGGAUGAAGCUCAUCUAAAACUUAAUUGAUGACUCCGGAGGAGGGACUCCUUUACGCCAACUGCAUGGAUCUACCUGCAGGUUUGUUCAACAUUCACAGUAUUGCUCGCUACCUUCCGGCAUGGACUUCUCACCGGUUGCCCACUACGGACUGCAGCUAUCCAUAGCUUCUGGACAAGUAUUCGUCAUUUGUGACAGAAUGUAUGCGGGACGAGACACUCGUGUGGCGGACGGCUUCACCCGACCAUGGAGAGACCCCAAUGAUUGGUUGCCUCACCCUCCAGGAUCUCGAGUACUGGCAUGAUUACAUUCGGUGCGAACCGCCAUACGGAGCGGUUCUCCAACUGGCUGCCGGACCCUCAGCGAGGCGAGGGACGAGUUUUCCAAGCUUGGUCUCCUUCGGGGCGGACGCAUCCCGUUUACCUACAGGAUACUUUGGGUUUUGCUUCAGACCGAAUUCCUGGAAGUGUCGUUUCGCCUGGCUAAACCACUUCGGAGGAGUCCUGCGUGCUUUCCCCUUUUUGCUGGAGUUUGCCAUGGGAAGGCAAUCUACGACUCCCUGUCUCUUAAUGUCCCACAUGGGAUCCACAGGGGUAGCCUGCCAUGACUGGUGUUUGGGUCCCAAUGGCGGUCCUUAUCAUGGCUGUCCCCAUUGUUUGGCUGAGUUGCCCUCUCAGGAUAGGAUCGUAUGGGGCCAUUCAUGUCCUAUGUCAGCUAGUGGACGACUCAUGUGCGUUUUCUCAAGAUUCUGGCAUUGCUAAGGAUCUCUUGGUCUGCAGUCUACCAAGAGGAGUAUACCGUAUGGGAGCCCUAUCUCUCGCUAUUCCUCAAGUCUAGUGGUAUCGUGUGUUCUGCAUUUCUUUGAGGAAUGACCUGAUGACAAGGUGCACCAGUUUUUUCCGCUUACGGUUUCCCCCCAGUACAUCUUGUAUUUCAUCGCGUUCUGACGUCAUGGUAUCGACGCGUCUUCUUCCUUCUUGCCGUUCAGUACAUCGGCUUCUGCUCCACACAUAUUUCAUUUUUAUUCGUCCUCUGUGUCGCACCCCUAUUCUCCGGAUAGGCCACGGCUCUGUUGACAGAUUGUACACGACCAUGUAGAUCCAGGAUCUGGUUCUUUUGUCCAUCUACUCAUGGACAGCUGUUUAUUUCUGCAUACAGCCGUUUUGGACUGUUUCUGCAUCUUCGCUCGCUCGUUGGAUUUGGUGGAUCCUCUCAUUGACUGACCUUGAGUUCCUCUGGGACACUUUUGGUUCGGGGUGCUGUCACCUCAACAAUUUUGGAAGCCGUUGGGUCCCUUCUGCAUUUUCUCUACACCGCUGCUUGGUUUAGGGAAUCAGUUUUUCCAUUCUCCUUUAUUUCAGUCCUCUAUCUCAUAUUGCUUCUGGUUCUACUAUUUGGGUGUUAAAAUUGCAAAUAUGAAGCCUCCUGUCCUGCCAUAAAAUUAGGGAUUAUUCUAGCCUCGGUGAGGGAAUAAUCUAAAUUUUAUUAAAGACAGGAGGCGAAUAUUUCCCCCCCUUUUUUUACGUUCCCUCCCUGGAUCUGAGUUUUAUUCUAUUAUAAAUAAUUGGGGAUAUUGUUAUGUUUUGUGAAUGCAUGGUUUUACAUAAUAAAGGUUAUUUCUAAUAUUCAGUGAUGGUUGUCUCUGUUCGUUUUAUUCAUCAUGUUUUUGUUUUAAUUAUGUUUCGUCAAUGCCUUUUAGCUUAGGUACAUACUAGGUCUUCAUAAGAUCUGUAGACUUUGUUUAUUCAUCAGGUAUUAUGAUGUGAAAGUGAUAUUGUAUGGAUAUGACAUCUUGCCUUGACAGUCUACUUUCACAAUGUUUUCUGUUUUCUUGCAGUGUAAUCUGUUUUUCUCUCUGGGCUUGACGAUUGUUUCUCUGGACGUGUCUGCUACAAGGUGGAUUCGUUGGUUUCCUUGCUCUCCUGCUCGACCUCAUCAAAGAAAGAGGAAGUGGAAGAGCCUGCUUAGGGGUUUUAUACUACUGUUGCUUUGUUCUGAUUGGUUGUUUUGAAAAGUUCUGUUAACUGUUUCUUUGCUGCUGGAGGUUUCAGUAAAGAAGGUAAAGCAAAUAUUCGCCUCCUGUCUUUAAUAAAAUUUAGAUUAUUCCCUCACCGAGGCUAGAAUAAUCCCUAAUUGUAUACUAUCAUCUUAAUUAAAUUCAUCUUGGAUUUCUGCACUAUCCAGCAUAAUUCUUAUACCCUAGGUAUUCAUAAUGUAUACCAUUACUUAAAAUGAAUCAUCAUAACUUAUCCUUCCUUAGUUUUCUUAAUUUUUCUACCAUACUUUGUUUUACUUCACCUCACUAUCAUCAAGUUACUUGUUCUUGUGAAUCUAUGAAAAAUACUAUUGAACACACUCAUAUCAUUAAGUACACAUGAAUCCUGUUUUAUCUACCUCUUAUACUUUUCAUCAUAUGUAUAGGUCAUCAUGUACAAUGUCAUAGUUCACUUCAUAAUACUAUCCUUUGGUAAUUUUACCCCAUGUGUUAAACAUUUUAUAAGUACUCUCUCUUGGUAUCAAUACCCUCAUAACUGGUAAAUAACCUUUCAUUGUCUGUUUUCUUUUCCAUUAAUAUAUUAGGAAUUGAUAUGUAUGUUAGUGUUAGUCAUUUAUUUAUUUAUUUUGAAGUCUGUUCAUCUUCUGUAUUAAAUUAGCUCUGUAGCAGUGUUCAUCAUAGUUUGCAGGUCAGAAGUAAAGUCUCUUUCUAACAGUAGAUGUCCAGUUGUUUAAUGGAAUGCUUUCCUAAUUUGUCAACUGGAUAUGUCGCUCUUUACUUAUAUUAAAACAAGAAACAUGUGCAGCAUGAAUACAAUGACUUACGUUAUUUAAAUGUCAGUGUUAUUUUACAGUUUAAGCCUGUGGCGAAAGUAACCUCGCCACAGGCUUUUGGAGGAGCCUGCUUGCCGCCUCCUGCCCCAGGACUAUGGCCCAUCAGACCUUGGUUCAUGUAUUUGAACAAUAUGGUUCGGGAACCGAACAGCUGCACGAACCGGAGACCACCCUGGAGCUUGACACUUUGUAGCAGUUUCAACCGCGGUGUUCUAAGUGUUCGUCUGGGUGGUCGCAUUUUCUAUCAAUGACCACAAGGUGGUGGUCAUCUUGUUCGCACAAAUGCAGGCAGCGUUGUUUGAUUGUCGAGUUCAUGAAACUAUUUUCGGACACUGAAACUCCCGAACACUGCUGGACUUCCAUCACCACCUGCGUUCGGUUCGAUGGAAACGUUCCCACGAACAAGGGAAUCAAGCUCCAGGGUUCAGAACUUUGACUCUGUUCGGUAUUUUGUUCAGUUAUAAACUACUCUAGACUACCGAACUAGACUGACCGCAAGCCCUGAUUCUCUGGAACUGUUUUGAGCAUGGGACCAUGCGUACGGUUGGUCAAACUUAAGACUUCCAGGAAAUUCCUGAACCCCUGAACUGAUCUGGGUGAUUUUUGGAUAUGUUGGUCACCCAGAUCGGGGCUAUCAGGGGUUGUAACUUUUUGUGUAUUUUAAGGGUAUGUUUAAUCUGUCAUAAAAAUGUGUGUUUUUGUAUCUGGAGAUAAUUGAGUUAAUACAGUGCUUGACAAUUAUCUCCCAGGUACAGAGGAGGGAUUAACCUAUUAUGUAUGGGAGUGACCUGGAUCUGAGAGCCAAUGUGAUUGUGUAAUUGUUUCUACUCUCAGGUCCAGGGGGGAGUGUCCCUUGCAUGGACCUGCAUAUAAGGCCAGUUGUGGCUACCAUUAAACGAGUUCCUGCAUAUCCUCAACAUAGACUCUCAUCUCAUGUGUGGGGGAAACAGAUGUAUCUGCUCUAGGGAUUGCUAUAUCUUGAUACUCCCCUGGGUUAUAAUCACUUUCUCUUGUUAGAGCAGCCUGUUACACUCUCUGGAGUAGGAGAGUUACACCAUCCCAUCAAUUUUGUGUAUAAACACACACUUAAGGAUACACACUUGAAAAAGAAAUAUAUAGUGCAGAUGUAUACCCCUAAAUAGGAUAUAUUAUAUUAACGUAUAUCCAAAUGUAUUUUGUAUGUGUCUACAUGCUGGAUAUGAGAUAACACAUUGUGUUUUCUCAUCAUAUAUUUAUUUUUCUCUCUCUUCCCCCUCUCUUUCCCCUUGCCACCAUGGGUUUUUAUGGUUAUUACUGUAUUUGGAGUAUCUUAGCCUUGUUAAAUAUGCCAUUUGGUAACACUCCUAGAUAUACUCUUUUUCCCUUCUCCCCCCUCCUUCCCUCAUCUUUUUUCUCCUUUUUCCCUUUUCCAAGAUGGGGUGUUUACAGUCUGGUGCCACCAGAGGGGUUUAGGCUGAUGCACACUAACGUGUGAUGUCAUCACGGCCACCCCCCGUCCAGUGCCAGAACCUCCCCCUAGUACAAUUGGGAGUCGGCAAUACCGAGGACUGGCAUGUAUGACUGGCAUAUUCGGAAUGCUGCGUCAUUUCCACCUGUCAGAGGAGGGAGGGUGGAGGGUGCAUGACCGACACCUCUGACCACCAAUGUAUAUAAUUUGGCGGGAUUCUCUUUUCCGGUGGUGGAUGGCGGAUCUGACGAACAGAGUUUCACGUGACAUCAUUUCCGCCAACCACAAACUGUUUUUUAUACCUCUGAGCCACCAAUGAUUAAUUGUUAAAUUACACAAGUAUGGGUGGGAAAGCCAAUUAUCCAACCAGGGGCUACCCAACCACAGGUGUCUCCAGGUCACAUCAGCAAUUCCAGCAAAUGUGCAUUAAGGAUUCUUUGUGGGAAUUGCCAUCCCAGAAAUUGGCACAGAACUUAAGGCUCUUAAUAAGGUGAGCACAAUACUUUAUAUAUAUAUAUAUAUAUAUACAUAUAUAUACACCGCAUUUUUGCACAGUACUACUCAUCUGGUCUACUUCCCUUCUCUCCUGUUUCUUUGGAGGAAUACCAUCGAGGAAAGGGGUGUGUUGCUGCCCAAAGAGCAUUAAGGCUUAUUUUACGGAGCCAAUACCAUAUAGGCUCCAGACCAUGUGAGUGGUCUCUAGUUAUUCCACUUUCAUCACCUAUUAGUAUAUAAGACCAUCUGCACUAUAUAUUACUUUAUUUUUCUUAUACAUGCAUUUUCAAGUGUUUAUCCUUAAAGGGACACUCCAGGCACCCAGACAACUUUUGCCCAUUGGAGUGGCCUGGGUGCCAACUCCCACUACCCUUAAACCUUCAACUGUAAUUAUUGCAGUUUUCAUAAAAUAGAAUGGCUUUGGGAGAUCUGCACAAUAUUUUUGUAAUUGGGAAAAGAAAAAUGUAGGAAGUGGCAAGAGUAUUGCAUUUAGGGUCUACAGGUAGUACCAUCGUCAGUGUAGGCAUGUAAAUAGGAGGUGUGUUAUACAGAGUAAAUACGCAUAGCUAAGUUAGCGGGUGUGCUAGUAGUGUGACAAGUAGUAUUUGAGCUACUGUCUGGUAAGUAAUUGAAGCAUGGUUAGAUACAGUAAAAUUAUACAUUAUAAGGUAGUGCCUAGCUAGGGGUCAUUAGUGGACUCGGGGUUGGCUCCUGUUUGUGUGAGGGGGUGAGUCAGUCAACCUAUGUCUUUCUUAAGGGGACCUCCACCUCCAAGAGGUGAGUAUGUUGUGUAUUGCCGUGCCGGGUAAAUGAAGUGGACUAUAGGUAAGGAGUUUUAGCCUUAGUGUUGCCGAUAAUUUGCGGUGCUGAUGGGAGGUAGGCGGGCCCGGGGAAGGGGGGUUGGAGUAUUUGAUCCGCAGGAGAGUGUCAACUGGAUAUCUUAUUAAUGAGAAAUAAUAUUUAAUAAGUGAAUAAGUAAAUAAAUGCCUAUCAAACCCACUCCAUAACAAAUGUGAUGGUCAAAAACAGAAAAAAGAAAACAUAUCUGAAGACAAAUCCUAAUCCUAAUCCUCCUAAUGCUCUGCUUGGCAGUUUCCCUAUUCACCAGACUCUAGACUUUAAUAACAUAAAUAUGGUCAAUGUCUGGGGUGGGAAUAUAUUCUGUAUGUAAGCAGAGAAAAUAUCCAGACAGUACUAAUCUAUACACCCUUAUCAAAUAUAAAUAGCUACAACAAUGUGCGACGUAAUGAGGUAAAAUCUCUCUCUUUCGUCUAGAUAAGGGAUUGUGAAUAGAGAUGAGCGGACACCUGGAUGUUCGGUUUAGUCGGGUUCGGCCGAACUUCUGCAAAAAGUUCGAGUUCGGACUCGAACUUGACCCGAUCCCGAACUCCAUUGAAGUCAAUGGGGACCCGAACUUUUGGGCACUAAAAUGGCUCUAAAAAAGUCCUGGAAAGGGCUAGAGGACUGCAAAAUGAAGUAAAGUGGGGGUAAGAGUAGGACAAGUGCCCUGCAAACAAAUGUGGAAGGGGAAAUAACUUAAAAUAAUAUGAAAUACAUAAAAAAUUCAAAUAAUAAUCUUGAACUAGGAGGAGGAGGUGGAUGUGGAGUAGGAGGUUGAGGAGGCGGUGACUGUGGCAAUGUAGGUGGAAGCGGCUGUGGAGGAGGUAGCCAACACUGUUUUUUAUUUGUUUGUUUGUUUUUUGUUUUUUUUUUAAUUGGGGUAGCCCCCAAAAUAUUGGGACAUAUGAAAAAAGAAAACAAAGAAUAAGUGCACUUUAGUAUAACAAUGGCUGGAUGAGGCCGGUUCAUUUUAAUAAACGUGAGCUUGUCCACGUUGGCUGUGGACAGGCUGCUGCGCUUGUCUGUCCCCUGCCAUGCUAAACACACGUUCAGACAAUACACUGGCUGCAGGGCAGCCCAGCACCUCCAAGACAUAAAGGGCAAGCUCAGGUCAUGUGCCCAAUUUGCAGACCCAGAAGUUGAAUGGGGCAAACCCAUCAGUCAGUACAUGUACGCAUGUGCACAUGUACUGUUCCACCAUGUUGCUGAAAUGCUGCCUUCUGCUAAGACGUUCCAUAUCAGAUGGUGGUGGUGGUUGUUCUGGCGUGCUGACAAAGCUUUUCCACAUUUCGGCCAUGCUAACCCUGCCUUCUGAGGUGCUGGCGGUGCCCCAGCUGCGUUGGCGACCUCUUCCUCCUCCUCUGCCUUCGCCUUGUGCUUCCACUGAGCCCCCGAUGUCAGUUGGGAAUGCCCUCAGUGUAACGGAUCGACGGGCACCCCAACUGGGUACCUCCGUUGAUGGAUGCUCCUAGCGCUUCCUGAGGACUCCAAGCACUGCAGCAGACACCACAACCACCGAACCAGAGAAGCAUACGAAUGCUCUCAAGCAUAUGAAUGCUAUAAACAGCUGAACAGGAAAAGCAUACAAUCAGCUUACACUCCUGGCAAUCAGCAUACAAUCCAAUUCCCCCAAUAACGAGACGACACUUUGUUUUGAGGUCAAGCAGAACUGACUGUACUGGCACAUACAGCCUCUUUUAUUCACAAUCCACAAACAUAGUACUGCCCACUGGGUUUUGAAAUACAACCAAUCAAUCCGUAAAAUACACACAGACACUACCGCACAAAAAUCCUCCCCUCUGCCUGUGAUAGAAUUACUGAACACAAUGGUUAAUAUAAUUAUCACAGGCAGAGAAAUACAGUAUUAUAAAACAUAUCACAGGGACCCCAAAACAUGCAAUAACCCCAUAAAUAUAUAUAUCCUCGGAUCCGUUCAGUAGUUUUGGAAGAUACAGUUUAAUGCAGAUUCCGCAGAACAUAUGCAAGCUAUAUGAAAAAUAAUUACUGUAUAAUGUGUCCCCGUUGUAUAGUUUAAAACUACUGCACAAUGUCUUUGUGCACCAAAUACCGGCGAGAUGGCACCGUGUAGAAAAGUCCAAACAGUGUCUGUGAGUUAAAAUGGCCGCCAUCCAUUGUUCUCACCAUGUGCCUCUGAUACAUGAAAUGGUGGCCACCCAGUAACUCCACAGUAUGUCCCCAGAUGGUUCUUAAAGGGCCAGCAGCAGCAUAAUAAAAUACAAUAUGCCCAAAUACUGUAUCUAAAGGGCCAAAUCUCCCAGGGGCCGCAGGCAGGAGGCGGGCAAACCCAGGAGGCUUUUCCAAUGCCCAGUGGCGAGGUUUUUUCGUCACACUCAGCAGCGCGUCUACCAGUGUGUGCUUGUAGUCGCGCAUCUUCCGAUCACGCUCCAGGGAGGGAAUUAAGGACGGGGAUUAAGGAUGUCCUUGUAACGGGGAUCCAGCAGGGUGGCCACCCAGUAAUCAGCACAAGUUAGAAUGUGGGCAAGUUGGCAGUCGUUGCGCAGGCACUGCAGCAUGUAGUCGCUCAUGUGUGCCAGGCUGCCUUAGUGGCAGAAAGCAAGUGAGCUGGCCCCCAGCGAUACAAAACUAUGAAUAAAAAUUUUCAAAAUUACGUAACUUAGAAGAUAAAAGCAAGAGGAUCUAUAUUUAUAAAUACCAUGUUUUCAAUAAUUUUCUUUGCACUAUUAUCAAAUCCUUUAUGAGACAGGACUUUUCAAUAGAUUUUAAUAUCUAGACCAAUGAGAACCGUAGAUUAUAUCUAUUUACAUUAAAAUCAUAUUUAAAAGAACACUAUAAAGGUAGGCAGCCAAUGUAAUAGAGCAGAAGGAAAUGCUAGCAGAAUGCUUGAUUGUAUAGGGAAAGGUAUUAGCAGUAGAAAGAGUGAAGGGCUCAUGCCAUUGUACAGAACACUGGUAAGACCUCACUUGGAGUAUUGUAUGCAGUACUGGAAACCGUAUCUUCAGAAAGAUAUUGAUACCUUAGAGAGGGUUCAGAGAAGGGCUACUAAACUGGUUCAUGGAUUGCAGGAUAAAACUUACAAGGAAAGGUUAAAGGAUCUUAACAUGUAUAGCUUGGAGGAAAGACAAGACAGGGGGGAUAUGAUAGAAACAUUACAAAAAACAUUACAACAAAAAAUAUAUAAAGGGAAUCAACACAGUAAAGGAGGAGACUAUAUUUAAAAAAAGAAAAACUACCACAGCAAGAGGACAUAGGCUUAAAUUAGAGGGGCAAAUGUAAAAAUAAUUUUUGGAAGUAUUACUUUACUGAGAGGGUAGUGAAUGCAUGGAAUAGGCUUCCAGCUCAAGUAGUAGAGGUUAACACAGUAAAGGAGUUUAAGCAUGCAUGGGAUAUGCAUAAGGCUAUCCUAACUAUAAGAUAAGGCUAGGGACUAAUGAAAGUAUUUUUUAAAAAUUGGGCAGACUAGAUGGGCCGAAUGGUUCUUAUCUGCCAACACAUUCUAUGCUUCUAUGUUUGCUAUAGGGUCAGGAACACAAACAUGUAUUCCUGACCCUAUAGUGCUCAACCCACCAUUUAGGUGGCUUGCCCUCCACCUUACCCCCCUUAAAAGGAGUUACAACUCCCCUUAUUGCUGAUUUUUAGCCACAAUAAUUUGUGGUCUUGUCGGAAUAAUGUUUAUUAGCACAUAUUCCUGUUGUAGUGCAUGACAAUGUUUGAUUAAUAUUUUCUUUAGAGUCUUAUUUUUAUUAUUAAAAUCUAGAAUUUUAAGUAACGUGGAGUUGCUAUUUUUUCUUUUGUCUUUAUAAACGAACAGACUAUCUCUAUCUUGAUUUUCAGCAUGCUUGAUUGCUUCUUCAACAGAGUCUGAUGUCAAAUUAUUUUCAUUUAGUUUUUCUUUUAAUACCUGGGCCUGUUUUUUUUGUUUUUUUUUUUAAAUGUAUUAAAGUUGAGCAGUUUCUCCUGAGUCUUUUUUUCCUGUUUUUGGUCAUCCCGCUGAGCCAUGGGUUGUGGUGGCAACUUGAUUGAGCGAUAAAAGCAUUCGUAUGGACUUUUUAAAAAAAGUAUGUGUAUUUACUUGCAUAUCAUGUAUAAAGAUCUGUAAAUCUAAAAAAAUGUAUACUCUGUUUAAUGUAAUCCAAUUUUUUUUUGCUUUAGGUCACUCAGGAAAAUUAUGAAAACAAUGGGUGCUAUUUUUAUUAUUUUUAUAUCAAUUUGGAAUUUUGCAGUUUUUGGUAAGGUUUUUUUUACGUGAUGUGUAUAUUUUAAAUAAGUUACAAAAUAAUUAUAUUUUAAUUGCGUACUUUCUUUACCUAUAACAAUAUGUUUAACACAAUUUAAUUUUACGAGGAACACAUUUGUUAUGCUAUAGAGCUUGAGCUACUCAAGAUCAUCUUUUAUACAGGGGUAAAAAGAUAACCGUAUUAAUAGGAUAAAAAUACAACUUUUCAAAACGUUCUAACAUGAAUCUCUUAGUCACAAUGCUGCUCUCAUUUAUUAUCCACUUAGGUUAAAACUAUACACUUAAAUUGUUACUCUAACACUUUUUAAAUAUAAAUAGAUGUAUUUAAAUCACAAUUCCCUUUUGGUCAUUAGUAAAUAAGCCCCCCUCCCUAUAAACCUUUCAAAGUAGUGGAUAGGAUAAGCUUACAUGGAAUUUAGCACCAGGGUAAGCACCCUUUUCAUAGAAAAUCAUUUGAUUGCUCCUCAGCUCCAUUGGUCUGCCUGCAAUGGUAGAAACUGACAACUUCUGUUUACAGCAAGCAGAACAGUGCUCGCUGACAACAAACUUCUGCACAUAUUUAAUGUUCCAGGCUACCCAAGUCAUGUGUGCCGGGGUUGUAACUAGCCCCUGGCACAAAAGUGAAUAUAUCUCUGGAUGUGAAGUAUUUCAAGCAAAAAUGUUGCACAUACAGACCUCUACCACCAUGACCACUUCUAAAGGAAGACGUGUGUAUGGUGGUUGGAGUAACUCUUUAAGAUAAUAUACAGUAAACACAUGGCUGGCCCAAGACACUGUCGUGUCUGAGUCCAAAGGCAAAGUACCCCUUCACAAAAAUGUAACAUCAGACUUCAACAUAUGAUGUUGAACUGAUUUGGCAUUUAAUUUAAGUGAAAUUUGGUAGGGUUUCAGGGAAGGGUAAAACAAACCUAUCGAAGAAGAACCAGCAGUGGCAUGUUCAAGCUGUCAAGAGACUAAGUAGAUCUAACAGUAACACAGCACCUUGAAAAGGAACCAGGGGAUGCAGGUCAUAUAUGGGUAAACUGACAAAAUACAUCUUCAUAUGGUGUUAAUAUUGGUAAUGAUAGAGAGUAUAUACAAUCCUAGUAGACAACCCAUUAAGCAUACCACACCUUUUAGGUACUUGAUAAUAUGGCCUGGGAAUUAAUUAAGCAAUCAAUCAAUUAAACAUCUCAGGGAUGGUGGUUUAAAGGCAACAUCAAAACAAAUAAUAACUCUUAAAUAAUGACUCAGAACAGCAUAUAAAAGGUAAUGAUACUCCUAAAUAUAAACAAGUAUAUUUAAUGAGAUGCAUAUGCCCUAAUAAAACUAUCACCAAUAUAUAAAUACAUAAAAAGUAUAUAUAUAUGUGAUAUAUUUUUAAAAAUAUAUAUAGAUAAAAAGUAUAAACUGGUUCAUGGAUUGCAGGAUGAAACUUACAAGGAAAGGUCAAAGAAUCUUAACAUGUAUAGCUUGGAGGAAACAUUGAUAGAAACAUUUAAAUACAUAAAGGGAAUCAACACAGUAAAGGAGGAGACUAUAUUUAAAAGAAGAAAAACUACCAAAAUAUGAGGACAUAGUCUUAAAUUAGAGUGGCAAAGGUUUACUUUACUGAGUGGGUAGUGGAUGCAUGGAAUAGCCUUCCAGCUGAAGUAGUAGAGGUUAACACAGUAAAGGAGUUCAAGCAUGCGUGGGAAAGGCAUAAGGCUAUCCUAACUAUAAGAUAAGGCUAGGGACUAAUGAAAGUAUUUAGAAAAUUGGGCAGGGUAGAUGGGUCGAAUGGUUCUUAUCUGCCGUCACAUUCUAUGUUUCUAUAAAUCUAGGAGAGUUUAUAACUCCAAAUCCAUUGGUUAAGAACUACUUGCGUAUGGAGGAAUUACGCUCAAUGGAGAUGCUGAUGUUUGCUGCAACCGGUAGGUCACAGGUCUAUGCAACAAUAUAGAUCCAUUGGAUGUUAAUGACUAGUUGAGAAAUACAGUGCCCUAUGUAAACAUAUUUUUCUUCCAUUUUCCCCUAAGACCACAAUAUUAUUCAAAGCCUUACCUUCUACUACACUAACUUGGCUGGUUCCUAGUAUAACAAUAUAUAAUCAUCAUGAUUUUAAUCUUACUUUGCCAGGUACCACUAACUAUUCAUUAUUUUAUAAAGUUUGUAUAUUUUUAUUUAUCUUUCUGUUUCUGUCAUCAAAUUGUUGCAAAAGUGAGUGUAUGAUGUAAUGGAAUACAGUAUGCUCAUGUAAACAACUCAUUCUUGAAUACUUGACAUUUGGAUGGAAAAUUCUACUGUAUUGUCAUUGACUGCACCAAUAACAAUUUGAUUCACAAAAAAAAAGAACUACUUGUCUAUAUAAUUUAAAUUAUGCUUUUGAUAUUUUCCCAGAACCGGAAAUAGUUUGGGGUGAGAUUUCCAGAGAUGCCAUCCUGCCAUGUUUUUUUAAGCCAUACAAUAAAAUUACAUUACAUUGGAUGACAACUGAUGAAAAGACCGUGCUCAGCUACUUCGACAAUGCCGAACAAUUAGAAAAUCAAGACCCACAAUACAAAAAUAGGACUUCGCUGGUUUUAAGUGAACUGAAAAAUGGAAAUGCUUCCCUUAAGAUUUCAAAUCUGCACAUAGGAGAUAACAAAUCAUAUUAUUGUUAUACAUCCACAGAGACAAAAAACAAAGUUUAUGUUGAUUUAAAAUUUGCAAGUAAGGAAUGUAUAUUAUGUAUUUCAGAAAACCUAAAUGUACAGUUAUUAAUGUAAGUCAUAAUUGAAAUAGAAAUACAAAAGGAAGCACAUCUCACUUACUCCCCAUAAGAUCCCUUGUGUCCUUAGUAUAUGCCCAAGUAAACAUCUCAUUCAACCUUGGUACACAAUAAUAGGCUGGGAAAGCUGGAGAUAGGCCCACUGCUCAGCCGAUCAUUGCUGUCAGAUGUAUGACUUUGAUGAAGAGCCUCAUUCAUUAUCUGAGCAGCUGUAGAUGGGUGUAACUUUGUGUGCUGUAGAGAGCCCCAGGUUUGUCAAACUGCUCAGCCAAGGGAUUUCUCCAUUAUGUGGGUGAUGCUAUUUAUAAUAGUAACAGGGCUCAAAAUUUCACAUCUUCAAGAGUCACAGCCAGACAUGAAAAGUUACUUGCUGCCUAAAAUGCAUGUGAUCAGCAUUUCAACUAUUUUUUUUAUUCAAUUAUGUUUGCUACUGUGUUUAAGUGUAUGCAGGGGCCUACUUGUAUGCAGUGUCGGCAUGUGUUUGUGUGAAUGCCAGAGCAGGUGGGGUAUAUUAGGCAGCAAAUGAACAGUCAGUUCUUCAAUUUCAUGUGUUGGAAGUAGUAAAAUGGGCAAAUGAAAAGAUUUGCGUGGCUUUGACAUGUGUCAAAUAUUGAUGUUUAGACGACAUUGUCAGAGAAUCUCCAAAAUUGCAAGUCUUGUGAAGUGUUCACGGUAUGUUAGUACUUAACAAAAGGGGUGCAAGGAAGGACCACCGGUGAACUAUGGUCCAGAUCAUGGGCGCCCCCAAGGCUCAUGGCUGUACAUGAGGAGUUAAGGCUAGCCGCCUGGUCCGAUCACACAGAAGAGCUACUAUAGUUGAAAUUGCUGAAAAACUUAAUGCAUUAGUUCAUGAAGAAAGGAGUAAAAACACACAGUGCAUCAUAGUUUGAUGCAUAGUGACCUUGAUGACCCCUAUUCCAUGCUAUAAGCUACAUUAAUCGGGAUGUGAUCAUCAGAACUGGACCCUUGAGCAAUGGAAGAAGGUUGCCAGGUAUUUUUUAGAUCAGGUGGGCAUUUGGAUGCAUGUGCAUUGUUUACCUGGGGAAGAGAUGGCAGCAGGAUGCAUUACCAUGACCAUGUGCACCAUUUGAUGGACUCUUUCAGCAGCAUAAUACACCCUGACACUCUGCAAAAAUUGUUCAGGAAUGUUUUGAGUAACAUAACAAAGAGUUCAGGGUGUUGCCUUGACCUCCAAUUCCCCCAGAUCUCAAUCAGGUUGUGCAUCUGUGGGAUGUGCUGAAACUUAUAAGCCAUUCAUGGAGGCCCCACCUCACAACUUGCAGGAUUUAAAGGAUCUGCUACUAAUGUCUUGGUGCCAAAUACCCAUUCCGUGAUGUUGUGGAGUCCAUACUUCGAUGCAUCAGAGCUGUUUUAGCAGCGUGAUGGGGAUCUACACAAUAUUAGGAAGGUGGUUUUAAUGUUGUGGAUAAUCAUUGUGCAUAGAGUCAGUGUGUUUGAAUGUAAAGGUUUGUGUUAAAAAAGGAUCUCUGUGCUUGGAUGCAGAGGUGGAUGAUGGAUGUAGAGUCUGGUGAUGUGUGGAGAGAAUCAAUGUGCAUAAAUACAGGGGCAUAUGUGUGCAUAGAGAGAAUUUAGGGACAUAAGUAUCUGGACGGUCAGUGUGCAUGAAUGCAGGGGUGUGUUUGUUAAAUCUAAGGGAAUGUAUGUGGGUAGGACCCUUAAAUAAAGUUCACCUUAUUAUAGCACCAAAGCCCUUGCUCACUUUGCCACCAAUUAUUCAUGUAGUCCACGUCCCUUUAUAUAUUUUGUAUAUGCAUGGUUUUAUGGAUAACAUUACGUGACUCUAGAAAGUGAUUUAUCCAGUUUCUGUGCUGUUGUUUUUUCUUCACAUGAUAUAACGUAUGAUACUAAAGAUAAAAAGCUGUGAAUACAUUAAUACAUAUAAUUUAUAUAUAUAUAUAUACUUUUUUUAUUUAUUAUUGUUUUUAGCGUUUGAAAACCAAUCGAUUAACUAUGAGUCAAAAAAUAAAGAAGUCCAACUAAACUGUUAUUUGGAACAUUGGUAUCCAGACAAUGCAAUCAGUAUAAAGUGGCACAAUGGAGAUAUUGUUGUCAAUGAAACCAAAGCCUCUGAGUGCAUUAUAGGGGUUACAAAUGCAAGUGAUACUUAUUGGUGCCUCAUACACCACUCAAAGCUUAAUGUUUCCUGGAAGGGUACCUGGCAAAAAAAGGGUAAGUGUAAAGCUAAGUAUAUGUGUAGUUUCUCAACUCAUCUUUAUUAGUCAAAGUCACAGUUACAAAAGUGUUUACCAUGAAAAGUUAUUUUAAGGUAAGAGAACAGGCAAAUGAAAAAAUUAGACUAUAUACAUAUCACACAUAACGUGUAACAUUGGCUGACUUUCAUCACAUUUACCAGGAAAAAAAUACAUAAUCCAAUUUGUACUUUUAUGACAAUUAUUCUUCACAAUUAUAUUGUAACAAGGAGUACAGCAGUUAUUUAAUUAAAAGUAGAUGGAUGCAGAUAUUUUCAGAUACUUCAGAUAAGUGGAAUAGCUGAUGUUUUCCCUCAUAUUUGUGGAGUUUAUAAGAGGAAAGUUUUGAACCAUUUUUAUGGCAAGAGAUGGAUAGCACUACGCUGCAAGUGGAAAUGGGGACAAAGGGGAUGGAGAUAGAUGCCCUGAGUGGUUUUCUAGAGAUGUGGUUAAAAGCCAAGCAAGAAAAGUGAAGGGUAUGUCUUGAUUCGGGAUAUGGGAUAUUUAUUUUUUACUUUAUUUUAUUUCAAAAUCUACACAUAUACAAUGUACCUUUUUCUAUGUGGACAUCCAGAGGCUAAGAUGGUUCUUGUUAUUUUGGAGGCAAUGGGUUCUCAUCAUGUCCCCAUUGGCUUUAACAAUCUCUGAUAGUAAGAUGGUUCUUGUUACUUCAGGUUACAUAGUUACAUAGGCUGAUAAAAGACUUGUAUCCAUCAAGUUCAGCCUUUCUCACAUCAGUUUUUGCUAUUAUUACCAUGGAGAUUAUGGAGGCAAUUUAGUAUUUGUGGAUUUUUGUAUAAAUUAAGUGAUUCUGGUGCUUCUGGUAGGACUGUAAUUCAUAUUUUCCUCAUAUUCAUAAUUCAUAUAGAGGAAAUACCAGUCAGUCAUAAUUUAAACCCUGUAUUACAUCAUCUCUUUUGGAUAGGUCAGACUUGGUGUACAAACAGCUUUCUCUUUAAUUAUUCUUGGUUUGUGGUGUUUGACACCAUAUAAUGCAGAGGAUGGUAUGCUCCAAGCCAGAGCAAGGCAUUAGAUAAUGCUUCAUCUGUUGUUGAGUUACAACUUCUGUGUUCCUGAGUCAACAGAAGGUGACUGAGAACAAUUGUGAAUAGCUGCAGAGGUAGUUUUUUUCUACUUUAAUACGAUCAUGGAAAUGUUAGAAAAAGACUUCCACUAAAAAGGACUUGUAAUUAGCAACUAUUAUGCUUGGGACAUUGUAUGUAUACGUAUAGUUUUUUUUUAAAAUAUAUAUAUAAAAUGUAAUUAAAUGAACACCCCAUGAACCAGAACCACUACCCCACACUGUAGUGGUUAUAAAGCCAUAUGAGUGUUCUCCAUUGUAAGCAACCAAACCACUAUAGAAUAUAGAAACCCCUCCCCAAGUCCACUACAUUCUAUGGAGAGACGCUCUUAACAGGAGAGUCCAUUAGCUAUCAUGUUCUAAGACCUGCAAUGUUUGCAUUGGCUGUGAGCAUCAGCUGCAAUUUCUCAUCCAAUGAGCCAAGCACUGUAUCACUGGGUUUAGCUUUCAAAGAGACCUUCUGGCACUCCAUAGGAAGUAGUCGAGGUGGGAAAUGGCACCCAGUGGAACUUGGGUAUGAAGCAAAACCAUUCUAAAAUGUAGAAGGCAUUUAACCGAGUGUGAGGAUUUGCUAGCUGGUAGACGCUGUCUUGCAGGUGGUUUAGCCUUUUAUCAUGCUCAUAUCUCUGUGGCAUCAUCAGUAGCAGCAACAUGUUGUCAUUGCUGAUCAUCCAUCCUCAGCUUCUUAAAUUGUCUUGCAUUGCUUACCAUUGAUGAGCUAUUUCAUAUUAAAAUUGCUGUUUGCUUUAACUCUUUCCAUAUUUUAUCAUAUGCAUUAAGUUCAUCUUGACAUGUAUUUAUAUAUCUGAAUGCAUGUAUUAUGUUACAAGAAAUAAUGGGAAAUACGUUUUUAAUUUUUUUUUUUUUUUAGAGAUUAACUGCACAAAAUCAAACAAAGCUGGUAGCAAUUUAUGUGAAACAAUAAACCCAAAUCUAUACAUCGCAUGGUUGACAGAAAACAAUAUUCUGGAGCCAGUGAUGGCUACACCAUUCUUUUCAAAUGUUAAAGAACAUUUUAAACUUUGCAUAAAUGCCAGCGGUGAGCCAUGUUUUGAGUGUGACCUACGAAGCAAUAUUACAGAGGAAAUUGGAGAGCACAUCUGUAGAUUUAAGUCUUCACACAGCAUGCAUAUUAUUAUCAUGAAUGUCAACUUCCAGGAUGGUAAGAAAACUUGUUCAUGUAUAGUUCUGCUAUAUGAUUAUGCUCAACAAUCUUUAUUGUGCUGCAUUGUACAAGGGGCAUUAUGGAAGAGUAUUAUAUUUACUUGCUUAAAACAAAAUAAUACUAAAAAGAAGGUGUCAUGUGGAUAUUGGACCAGACUCAUCACGGCACACAGUUUGGUUGUGACACACAAGUUGCACAUAGUCAUCCACUCAGAACCGCUCUGUCACACGGUGUCAGUAGUAGAGCAUGACUACAUAUUUAAACACACCGGCACUUUACUUGGGAUGAAAUGCAUGGCAUUUAAGAUGAUUGAUGAUGAUUCAUUUGUGCUCAGUUGAUGAGCAAAUCUGAUGAGCCUUCCUGGCAGGUAGAAUGUCACCCUGGCAAGCAUGCGUGUUAGGAUUACAUGCCCUCUUUACAGAGGUGCACAUCACCACCAAAAAAUACUAUUUUCUCUUAUAGAUUAUGAAACUCUAACUUUACAAAAGUACAUUUUACCUCCUACUCUACAUAUACAUUCCCAGUAUAUUCUCAUUCUCAGUACAUAUCCCAAUUCUCCCUAGUAAGGUUCCCAAGUGUACUAUUAUUUUGCAGCAUACAUAUCAUUGGGACAAUAUAUGGAAGCACUCCCUAGCAGCAUUUAAGAAUUCAUUUAAUUUAGAAAUGGAAUCACUUACAGUGGGGUUGGUGUUCCUGAUUGUGGUCUUGACUUAAUAUUUUGAAUAAGCUUUUCAAAUUUAAAAAAUGAUGUAAAAAAAAAAUAAUAUUGAUAUAAAAAAAAAAACCUUAAUGCUUUUUGCUGUGUACAUCUACUAUGUCUGGUCUCACUAUGUGGAUGGAUCCCUGUACUAUUUGGCAUCACAGCAAAAUUAUGGCAGUUAACAAAUUCCAAUUUUGGCAUACAUUUAUUGCACUGUUAAAAAUAAAUUCAGCUCUAGUAAAUUGAGCUUUAUAUUUCACUUCUAUUUAGGAACAUCCGUCAACCACCAACUGUGGCUGCUGUGCCUGUUGUUGAUACCAAUUGCAUUUGCUGGUGCUCUGGUUGUUUGGAAAAAAAGGUACAAUUUGUAUAUUACAAUGCAAAAAAUAUGUUAAAAUAUUACAUAAAAUGCUGCUUGAUGUAUUAAAAAACAUUGAUGCACAAAAUUGUAUUUGAUGGACAUUAUGUUUUGAGUCUAGGUAGGCUUCUUUAAUGUUCAAUGCAGUGGUUCCCAAACUUUUUAGGUUUAAGGCACCCUUAAUAUUUCAAUAUCUUUCCAAGGUGCCCUAAGUCAAAACAAAUUUCCAGAUUGUAUAUAUGUACAGCGCUGCGGCAUAUACUGGGAUUCAGAACCUGAUCUUGAAAGGGCAGUGGUAAAUUAUUUAACCCCUUAAGGACACAUGACAUGUCAUGAUUCCCUUUUAUUCCAGAAGGUUGGUCCUUAAGGGGUUAAAGAAACAAUCCAGGCCAGAUAACCACUGCAGCACUAUGUAGUGGUUAUGGUGCCAGGAGAGCCGUAGUGCCCUCCGAGGGUAAGCACUCAAACUGUUUAAGAACAGUGUGACAACUUACCUGGGGUCUGCCAGGAUAGGGGCUGUAGUAGGGGAUUUGGGCAGUGGUGUGUGUGUGUGAGGGGUGCAGUGUGUGUGGGUUAUGUGUGUGUGUGAGGGGUGCAAUGUGUGUGUUCAUGUGUCAGGGGUGCAGUGUGUGUACAGGCUUGCAUUUUGUUUAUGAAGGAUGUAGUGUGUGUGUGUGAGGGGUCCAGUGUGUGUAUUGGAGGUAUUGUGUGUGAGGGGUACAGUGUGUGUGUAUGGACGGGCAAUGUUUGUGUAUGGUGGGCCGUUUGUGUAUGGUGGGCAGUGUGUGUGUGUGUGUGUGUAUGGAGGGGCAAUGUAUGUGUAUCGGGUGCAGUGUGUGUGUAUGGAGGGGCAAUGUAUGUGUAUGGGUGGCAGUGUGUUUAUAUGGGGGGUAGUGUGUGUAUAUGUGGGUUAGUAUGUGUGUAUGAGGGGCAGUGUGUGUGUAUGUGGGGCAGUGUGUGUGAGGGGUUUAGUGUGUGUCGCGAGAGGAGACCCCAGAGGAGCUCUAACCUGCAGCUCUCCUCUCCCUCCCCUGCCAGGUGCAGCAUUUCAGUGCAAAUUGGCCAGUUGGGGAGAUCUCUGGUCCUACAGAGCUGGCAGGGGAGAGUGAGAGUGAUCAUAGCACCGGGGUAAUAUUUUGUGGCACCCCUGUGUGCACGUUGAAGCGCCCCAGGGUGCCGCAACACACAGUUUGGGAACCGCUGGUUUAAUGUAUGUAAUUGCACUAUUACAAUUUCCACUUAUAAAUUACUGGUCACCUUUCCUAAUAUUGUUAUAUUAAUAUAUAUGUAUAUUUUUUUUUUGUAGUAGAUCAGCAGGCACGCGAUUUACAGGUAUGUUUUGUUUUACAAUUUUCAUUUACAGGGAUGUUUCAAAGAACUAAAAAUACUCUUCUAAAUAGGAAUCUGCUCAUGAUUUCUUAUACUACGCUUGCUUUUAGACUUGUGCAGGGUGGACAUUUUUGGUUUGUCCAAAUAAAUGUCUCAUCCAAAACAAAUUCGUUCAUUAGUUGAUUUGUUUCGGAUUAAAUAUCUCUGAUAUUUUCAGUAUGGAAUUUCCAUUCGCACUUCCUUUGGUUUAGAACACGGGUUCCCAAUUACUUUUUCCCGUGGAACCCUUUGACAUAGUGUAUCAACAUUGUGGAACCUCCCUCCCCGGAAAAAAAAAUUACAAUUGCGCCAUUAUUUUUUUUUUUUUAUGUCAAGGUGUGUAUAUCUGUGCUUGUAUGUGCCACUUAUAUAUCUGACACACACACACACACACACACACACACACAGAUCGAAACACAGUGUGUGUGUGUGUGUAUCUGUGUGUCAAGGUGUGUGUAUUUGUGUUUGUAUGUGCCAGUGUGUAUGAAUCUGACACACGGAUAUACACACACUGACAGAUAGUGGCACACAGAUACACACACUGACACAAAUACAUACCUUGACACACAGUGUGUAUCUGUGUGUGUGUGUAUGUAUGUAUCUAUGUGUCAAGGUGCAUGUAUCUAUGUAUCAAGGUGUGUGUAUCUGUGUUUGUAUGUGCCAGUGUGUAUAAAUCUGACACACAGAUACACACACUGGCAGAUAGUGGCACACAGAUACACACACCUUAACACACAGUGUGUAUCUGUGUGUGUAUGUAUUUAUGUAUCUGUGUGUCAAGGUGUGGGUAUCUGUGCUUGUAUGUGCCGGUGUAUGUCAAGGUGUGUAUAUCUGUGUUUGUAUGCACCAGUGUGUAUAUCUCUGCGUCUGUGUGUAUAUGUAUACACACACUGGCCCACAGAUACACACUGAAACACACGUUUACACACAGAUACACACACUCAGAUACACACUGACACACAUCUUGACUCACAAAUACACACACACACACUCAGAUUCACACAGUGACAUACACACAUUUGCACCCACAGAUACACACUGACACACAGGUACAUACAAACACACUGAUACAUACUGGCACAUACAUACACACACACACACACUUAGAUACACACAGUGACACAUACACACUCUUUGACAGACACACAUACACUCUCAAUGACAAACACACACUCUUUGACACACAUAUACACUCUCACUGACAAACACACCCACUCUUUUACAGACAAACACACAAACACAUACAAACUCCCUAAUAGACAUACAUAAAUUUUUUUUGUUUUUUUUACAUUUUACUCCACCCAGCCCCCCUACCUUUAGGAGUGCUGGGAUGGAGUCCCUGGGGUCCAGUGUGGCUGCUGGCAUGAAGUCCCUGUUGUCCAGUGGGGCUGGCUGCAGCUUGGUGGGCUGUCGGGAGGUCUGGCAGACAGGUGAGCGGUGGAGGUGGGCAGCGAGGGAGCAGUUACCUCUCUGCUCAGCUCCCUCACGCGCCUCUUAGUGAUGCCGGAGUCGGAGUGAUGUCAUAUUCCGGCUCCGGCAUCACUGCUGUGCACGUGAGGGAGCUGAGCAGGGAGAUCACUGCUCACUGUUCCCUCACCACCCGUGGCCAUUUUAUUUUCAAUUUUUUGUCGGAACCCCAAUUAGUGUUCACACCAAUUGGGUAAACGCUGGUUUAGAAAAUAGAUACUUUACAUUCCUAAUUGUAGGAUUGCCAUAUUUCAGGGUAUUAAAUUAGGGAGGGGACUGUGUUCAGUAGAAGCUCCAUAUUUUGGCACCCCUAAAUAUAGCAUUCCCAUAAAAGGAUCCCAAGUUAGGAAGCUAUCUACUUAGCAGCUGAAAGAUCAAAAUUAAGAAAAGGGCUUUUAAUUACUUUUGAUCUUUCAGCUGUAUUAUUUAGUAAAUACCCACCACAGACCAAUCAUUUAUUCCUCUGCAGGGCAGCACAGGCCCAGAUAUAGCUCUCUGUCCAUUAAUGGAUCAGUGGAGAAGAUCAAAAUUUUCUGGCCAUAUCCAUGGCAACACAGUGAUUGGUAGCUUCUCCCUAUCCUUAAUUAGACAGGAACUAAUUAAAAUAAAUGUAUAAGUACCUCCUCCUAUCCCCUCCUCCCUCCAUCUUUUUGUUCCUGUCUUAUCCCUAUAGGACAUAUGUUUUUUCCUUGGAACUAUUUUUUUUUUUUUUUUUAUGGCUUAUCUGGGGAUUUGUUCCCCUGGCCCCUUGGGAGUUCAGCCUCUCUCCCUUGGGAAGUCUCCAGUUACACGGCCCUGCGCAAAGGUGACCCCCUGAAGAGUACCCCUUUAGUGACCGGGGAUCUGGCACUUGCUGUAACCCAAGAGGUAGCAAGCUGUUAUGCCUAGUUCCCUAAUGCUGCAGUGACCCUAGGUGUAGCAGUGGGCAGGUGAAUAUGGACUUGGACGUCUACCUUGCUGGUCUGGACUUCUCCCUGUUUCCGACUUCCCUCUGCCUAUUCCGUCCUUCUGAAGGGGUAAGUGCCUGUGGUUUCUUUCAUUUUCAACUUGGCGUUCGUUUUUUCGAAUGCACAUGUGUUCGUAUGGUUUGCUGAUUGAUUUUGUGUCUGUUUGUGCUUUUAGCCGUUCGCCUGAAAUUUUAGCUGUUCGCAUGAAUUCUGGCAAACGUUUAUUUGUUCACACGAAUGGUCCGUUCGUCUGUUCGUUUGCCUGUUCGUUCGUCUGAUUUACACAGGUGCUCUGUGUGUGACAUCACACGCCUAUUUAACAGCCCCCUGGUUCACACACUCUGGCGAAUGCUGCAUUGCUUCCUCCCAUCUCCUGCUUGAUUUUCGUUUUGUCCGCUUUUCGUUAAGGUAAAUGUAUUUUUAUUUUUUAAAGUGGUAUCCUUCAAUUUUGUUCUGAAUUUCAAUUUGAGAUUCUUUCUUGAAUUUGGUUCUGCAGAUGGAUAUGGAAGUCUCAAAUUCCUCUGAUUCUGAUUCUUUCCCACCUCACAAAAGGUCACAACCUAAGUCUUAUAGGUAAGCCAUGUUUUUUCUGGUUUGUUUUAUCUGGAAUCUAAAAGAGUGCGGAUAACUGAUACACUGUUCUGUCCCUAUUUCAGCAGUUCUAAGGGGACUAGAGCUUAGUGUCAUCCAAAGUGAAGUCGCCCAAAAGGACACAAUGUGAAUCCUGUGAUAACAGAGCCCUGUAGGGGAAACGUCUCUGUUUUUCUUGCCUAUCUGUGACUGCAGGCCCAUCUCAAAGGCAGUCCUCCAUCCAACCUGCGCCUGACAUAAUGCAGUAUAUUUUACAAGCAGUCACUCUGGGCAUUCAGGAAGCUGAGAAGUCCCGCAAGUGACCAAGGUGUUUGGAACCUUCGGAGUGUUCUCCAGACGUCUCUGAUGUGGAGUGUAUGACUAUGGAAUCUCUGAGAGAUCUGGGUUCUUCUUCUGAGGACGAGGUGCUUCCAGCUCCAGAUUUCCUGGAACCUGCUGAAAUUUACCGUUUUAUGUCCAGGGUCCGCAAGACUCUCAGUUUGAAGGAAUCUUCUAAGGAUGAGACUUCCACAUCCAGUCGCUACUUCUCUGACCUCAGGAGGAAGAGGGCAACUUUUCCAGUCCAUGAGACUAUAAAGACCUCAUCAAGGAGGAAUGGUCCAGAUUGGACAGAAAAUCCUCUGCAAAAGGAAGAUUUUCCAGACUGUAUCCUUUUGAGGAUGCUGAUGCUGAAGCAUUCCGCUCCCAAGGUGCAUGCGGCCGUGGUUAGAUUGGCCAAACGCACCACUUUGCCUGUUGAUGAUGCGGGUUCCUUCAAAGACCCUAUGGACAGAAAGAUGGACUUCAGUCUUUCCAAAGCAAAUGUGGCUUCAGGUACUGGCCUGCACCCAGCAGUGGCCCUUGUGUCAGUCCAGGGCGCUUAAGGUUUGGAUGGAGAAUUUGGAGGAGGAUAUUAAGAACAGCAGGAGCCAUCCCUUCAUACAUAGAAACAUAGAAUGUGACAGCAGAUAAGAACCAUUCGGCCCAUCUAGUCUGCCCAAUUUUCUAAUUACUUUCAUUAGUCCCUGGCCUUAUCUUGUAGUUUGAAUAGCCUUAUGCCUAUCCCAUGCAUGCUUAAACUCCUUUACUGUGUUAAGCUCUACCACUUCAGCUGGAAGGCUAUUCCAUGCAUCCACUACCCUCUCAGUAAAGUAAUACUUCCUGAUAUUAUGUUUAAACCUUUGCCCCUCUAAUUUAAGACUAUGUCCUCUUGCUGUGGUAGUUUUUCUUCUUUUAAAUAUGGUCUCCUCCUUUACUGUGUACAUACUGGAUAGCCUAAAAGAUUUGAAAUUGGCUGUUGACUUCUCAUCUGAGGCUGCGGUGGAUCUGGUGAGGUUCUUAUGGCUCUUUCAGUUUUGGCCAGGAGAGCGCUAUGGCUCAGACCAUGGUCCGCUGAUGCCUCCUCCAAAGGCAGCUUGUGCUCCCUUCCUUUUUAUGGCGACAUGAUAUCUGGCAAGAAUCUGGAUGAUUGUAUUAAACGAGCAGCCGAAGGUAAAAAGGCCUUUCUGCCUCAAGACAACAGGCCCAAAGGUUCCUUUCGUGCAAAAAGGGACUAUUACCUGUUUUGUGAUAGCAGAUCCUACAGACCGGGUAAGGAAUAUGGGAGAAAUCAAUCCUGGAGGAGCGGUCAACAUAGUGCUACAGGCGGCAAGUCCCGAGGUUCUGCACCCUCCAAGAACCCCAGGAAUCUGUGAUGGGCUUAUCUCCCUGUCAGGCGGUGUUGGAGCUCGCUUGCUCCAAUUCCGUGUGGCAUGGGAGGAAUCCGUAAGAGACAACUGGGUUCUGGAUAUCAUCAGAAAAGGAUAUCUUCUAGAAUUUUGCAAACACCCUCCUUCCAGUUCCUUCCAAAUUGCAAAGUGUCCGGGAGACAAAGUAAAAAGGCUUGCUCUCCAGGUCUUCCUUCUCUACAAAAAAGAGUCAUUGUACCAGUCCCGGAGUCAGAAAGGACUCACGGCUUCUAUUCACACCUAUUUCUGACUGAAUAGUCCUCGGGAGGGUGGAGACCCAUCCUACAUUUACACAGACUGAAUCGAUACUUGCAUAUACGCAGAUUCAAGAUGGAGUCUCUUCAAUCAGUGGAUGUUAUCAGUAGACUUGUUGAAUGCCUAUUUCAACAUCCCUAUAGCCCUGGCACAUCAGAAAUACCUGAGGUUCGCAGUAGGGGAGGCUCAUUUCCAAUUCAGGGCCUUGCCCUUUGAUCUCAGCACUGCUCCAAGGACCUUCACGAAAGUGCUUGUUGUUCUCAUCGCAGAACUGAGAAAACAGGGCAUAUCCAUCUUCCAUUACCUGGACGACAUCCUGAUUGUGGCGGACAACGAGGAUACUUUGUCCGCCCAUGCAACUGUUUGCCUUCAGUUCCUACAACAUCACGGUUGGAGGAUAAAUGUCAAAAAGAGCCAUCUCUGCCCGAGUCAGUCCAUGACAUACCUGGGUGCUCUGUUCGACACUUCCGCGGGGACUGUUCAACUCUCCCCAGAAAGGAUCCUGAGAAUACAGAAACAGGUUGUGGAGAUGUUGGCAUGCAAGGUGACUUUAGUGAAGAAGGCGAUGAGUCUCCUGGGUUCCAUGUCCUCCACGAUAGGACUGACAAGGUGGGCACAAUGGAGAAUGAGGAGCUUUCAGGCAAACUUCCUCCUCCAAUUCUCCUCAAAAAGUCUACUCCAGCCCAUCAAGAUUCCGUUGUCAGUUCACAAUUCCCUGGUUUGGUGGCUAAACAGUGCCUCCUUAGCCAAGGGCUUCCUUCUGGGAGACGUUCCGUGGAUAGUAAUAACGACGGAUGCCAGCCAUUGGGGUUGGAGAGCCCAUUGUCAACGCAACUUUGCGCAGGAGGAAUGGAAGUUCCAUGCGGACAACUUGCCUUCCAAUCUACUGGAACUCUUUGCUGUUCUCGAAGCCCUGAAACAUUUUUCUCAGCUGAUUCGUCACCGUUGGGAGAAGAUUCGGUCAGACAAUGCUGCGGUGGUAGCCUACAUCAACCAUCAGGGUGGCACCAGAAGCGCAGGUGUUUAUGCAUCUGUUGAUGUCAUGGUCUCAACGACACCUGGCAGGACUCACAGCAAUUCAUCUCCCGGGGAAACAGAAUCAGAUCGCGGAUUUCCUCAGCAGAUCCAGAAUCGAUCCGGGAGAGUGGUGUUUGUCGGACGACGUGUUCCAAAUGAUAGUGGACAGAUGGGGCCUUCCUCAAGUGGACUUGUUUGCGACAUGAAAGAACAGGAAGGUGGAAUGUUUCUUCACGAAGGACAACGAUCCUCUAGCCAUGGGGAGGGACGCCCUUUCCAGCAACUGGCGAUUUUGAGCAGUGUAUGCAUUUUCCCCUUUUCCCUUUGUAGAAUGAGGAUGGUUUGCGUCUCCCUCAUACUCAUAUCCCCGUUUUGGCCGCGCAGACCCUGGUUUCCUCUCCUACAGAGCCUUUGUGUAGAGCCGCCUUGGAGUCUUCAGAGAGUCCCAGACCUUCUGCGUCAAGGUCCUGUUCUCCACCAAGACCCGUCCUCCCUCAACCUGAUGGCAUGGAGGUUGAAAGGGAAAGGCUGUUGAAUAAGGGCUUCUCUCAUGCGGUGGUAGACACCCUGCUCAGGGCUAGGAAGCGUUCCACUUUUAACGCAUACUAUCGAAUCUGGGACUUUUUCUCUUCCUGGGCUUCCUCGAGGGAUGUCUCGAUCCAGUGUCCUUCCACAGGGAAAAUCUUAGACUUUCUUCAGUAUGGCCUCAAGAAGGGUCUGAGCUACAACACCUUGAAGGUUCACAUAUCUGCCUUGUCGGCUUUAACUAACCACAAAUGGCCCUUUGAUUCGGACGUGGCCAGGUUUCUUAAAGCUGUACUAAAAAUCAGAUCUCCGAUUAAGCCAUUCAGUCCACCUUGGGACUUGCCUCUGGUUCUCCAAGCUCUAAAGUCUCACCCCUUUAAACCUUUGGAUUCAGUGCCUUUCCAUUUCCUCUCCAUUAAAACUGCCUUACUGGUGGUUUUGGCCUCAGGCAGAAGGGUCUCGGAACUUCAUGCUCUGUCUGUCAAGGAGCCUUUCACAGUCUUCCAUAAGGACAGGGUGGUCCUUCGUACUAUCCCAGAAUUUCAGCCUAAGGUCACCUGCGCCUUUCAUAUUAACAAGGAAAUUGUUCUCCCAGCUUUGCAUCCGGUUCCACAAGUAGAUGGUGAUGACAGGGAUCUUUCCUCCUUGGAUUUGGUGAGAUGCCUCAGAAUCUACAUUGACAGAACCUCCCCUUGGCCUUCAUUUCCAGGCCUCUUUAUCCUUUAUAACGGAUGUAGAAAGGGCAGUCAGGCUCCUAAAUCUACCAUUAGCAGAUGGUUUGUUUCAGCCAUCAUCCAAGCUUAUCAGGCCUCGAAAGCUCCAGUCCUGCAUGGACUCAAAGCUCAUUCCACGAGAUCCCUUUCCUCCUCAUGGACCUUCUCUGCCAAGGUCUCUCGUGAACUGAUUUGUAGAGCUGCCACUUGGUCCUCUGCCAAUACUUUCAUCAGACAUUACCAAGUGGAUAUCAGAGCCGGUCAUUUGGACCAAUUUGCUAAAAGUGUCCUUUCUGUAUGAAACCCUUGAUUCCUGAAGUUUUGGCGUUUGUCACUUGGUUUGUGGUACCAAUACACUUUGUAUAUGAUUUUUUGGAGUCUGUGGUUUCUUUAUUUAUUUAUCCCUCCCUUGGUUAUUGCUUGGGUAUUACUCAUCAUUGUGCUGCCAUGGAUAUGGCCAGGAAAAGGGAAAAUGUAUCCAUACUUACCGUACUUUUCUUUUCCUGGUCAUAUGCCAUGGCAGCACAAAGGUCCCGCCCUGGGAUAUUGCUAGUAAUAAGACUGAGGGAGGAGGGGAUAGGAGGAGGUACUUAUACAUUUUUUUUAAUUAGUUCCUGUCUAAUCAGGGAUAGGGAGGAGCUACCCACCAUUGUGCUGCCAUGGCAUAUGACCAGGAAAAUUACUGUAAGUAUGGAUAAAUUUUCCCUUAUCUCCCUUACUGGGCCAGCAUACUUUUACAUCUGGUGAGAGGGUGGCUGUAAUGCCAGGGGAGCUGGGAUGUCUAUGCCAGCCCUGCACACCGAUCUCUCUUAGUCCCAGUACUUACAGUGUCUGAGCAUUGCCAUUGUAAAUGUUCUGACAGUAAGUAAGUGCUGGAAGAUAGAGGUGCAGCAAAUACAUAAACCUCAUGGUUCCUCUCCCUGCAACUGGAGGAUAGGCAGCUUGCUGGACCGUCAUAUAUCUGAAUGCCUCUCCCUGAAAGGUAAGAACAGGAGGGGGAAUCAUUUUUUUUCGGUAAAAAUAUUAAAACCCCAUUCCCAAUCCCCUAAACACAUCAUAAAAAAAAAAAACACACAGAGCACCACCCCACACUCACAGCGCACCACCACACACAUACAGUACACCUCCAAUACAGUACACCCCUCCACACAAGGUGCACCUCACCCCACACACAGUGCACCCCACCCCACACACAGUGCACCCCCAAACAAACAAAAAUAAAAUAUUUUAUCUUAACAAAUUACAAAGAACUGAUUUGAGCAAAUCAAAUUUUUCGACCGUGCACAAGUCUAUCUGUAAGCAAAUAGACAGCAUAGUGAUAGGAGUAGAAGUAAAGUAAAGUUUAUGUUUUUCCAUGCAGUGUGUGUCCUGGCACAGUUGCGACUCAGUCUUUAAUGAUAAUAUAUUAGCACCAUUCUCCGCAUCCACUAAUUCAGACAGAGAGACAGAAGUUCUGUGUCUAAGCAAAGCACAGCAGUGCAGGGCUUAGCUCAUUUUUAUGAGAGCAAUCAGCUGCCACGCUCAGCCAAUGACCUAGUCCUGCACUGCAGGUCUUUGCUCAGGAGGGCUAACGGAAGCUCCUCUUUAGGAGUGUCUGGCCCGUGAUGGUGGGGGCAAGGAUGCAGCUCCCAGCAGACCCCAAGUAAGAAGUUAAACCAUCUUAAAAUGGUUUGGCUACUUACGAAGGGAAAUCACCAGGACACUCCAGGUUAUGAUGCCUAGAGUAUUUCUUUAAACCCUGUGAAUAAAUAAUUCCCUUUAUUUAAAUUGUAUUUUAUUUUCACUGAUGCAUAUCUUGAAGUGUAAUUGUCCCCUAAACAAAAGGUCUUCUAUGGACUGUUUAAUAUAUUUUAAAUAUCCACAGGUGUGCCAUUACAAGAUAUGUCAACCUGAUCGCUUGAAAAUAAGAAGAUACUGAAAAUAAAUAGAUAAUUUAAUUGUUGAUGAGAAAAGGAUGCAUUAUGUGAAGGGAGAGAAAGUGGUCAGAAAAAUGUAACAUGUCACUGGAUUGUCCCUGUAUCAAAAUGUUGGGGAAAGCAUAGGAGUACAAAUACAGACCUCUUUCAAAAUCCCCACUUGAUAUACACAUAUUUAUUUAUCCUAGUAUACUAGUGUGGGUGGAUGUGGCAUAAAGAGCCACGUUUGGACAUUUGCACAAAAUUACUUUCAAUUGUCUUAAGUCUGGAUCCCAUUAUUGAGACUCUGUCUGUCCUAGAUACUAGGGAAUAGAUAAUAGAUACUAGGCCAGGGGUAGUCAACAUUUUAAUACCUACAACCCACGUUUGCAUCUUUGUUCAUAGUAAAAUUUCCUUGCCAUCCAUCAGUGCCGCAGUAACUCAUUUUAUAGCG
Pelobates cultripes (western spadefoot toad) is the source of this 40005-nucleotide non-coding RNA. Lineage: Eukaryota; Metazoa; Chordata; Amphibia; Anura; Pelobatidae. The record is from the annotation of a GenBank genome assembly.